This 483-nucleotide ribosomal RNA is filed under the name uncultured bacterium. Its description in RNAcentral is "partial 16S ribosomal RNA". It matches the Rfam family "Bacterial small subunit ribosomal RNA", at positions 30 to 506 of the family's 1533-position model. The record is from RNAcentral.
AUUGAACGCUGGCGGCAGGCCUAACACAUGCAAGUCGAGCGGAUGAAGGGAGCUUGCUCCUGGAUUCAGCGGCGGACGGGUGAGUAAUGCCUAGGAAUCUGCCUGGUAGUGGGGGAUAACGUCCGGAAACGGGCGCUAAUACCGCAUACGUCCUGAGGGAGAAAGUGGGGGAUCUUCGGACCUCACGCUAUCAGAUGAGCCUAGGUCGGAUUAGCUAGUUGGUGGGGUAAAGGCCUACCAAGGCGACGAUCCGUAACUGGUCUGAGAGGAUGAUCAGUCACACUGGAACUGAGAAACGGUCCAGACUCCUACGGGAGGCAGCAGUGGGGAAGAUUGGACAAUGGGCGAAAGCCUGAUCCAGCCAUGCCGCGUGUGUGAAGAAGGUCUUCGGAUUGUAAAGCACUUUAAGUUGGGAGGAAGGGCAGUAAGUUAAUACCUUGCUGUUUUGACGUGACCAACAGAAUAAGCACCGGCGAACUUCGU